AUAAUUGGCUUGUGGCGGCCAUAGCGGCGUAGCUUUUUGAUUCUUUGAUGUCGGUCCUUGCUAUAAUUGUGGAGCAAAAUACACCAAGCGUUGGAUUAUUCACCGAUACAAGUAAACGUGAGUUGCGUUUAGACUGUCAUGAGACAGAUU
RNAcentral lists this non-coding RNA (150 nucleotides) under Glossina austeni. Its description in RNAcentral is "eukaryotic large subunit ribosomal RNA". It matches the Rfam family "Eukaryotic large subunit ribosomal RNA", at positions 2826 to 2984 of the family's 3401-position model. Lineage: Eukaryota; Metazoa; Arthropoda; Insecta; Diptera; Glossinidae. The record is from RNAcentral.